RNAcentral lists this transfer RNA (72 nucleotides) under Camelus bactrianus (Bactrian camel). It matches the Rfam family "tRNA". Rfam says of the family: Transfer RNA (tRNA) molecules are approximately 80 nucleotides in length. Their secondary structure includes four short double-helical elements and three loops (D, anti-codon, and T loops). Lineage: Eukaryota; Metazoa; Chordata; Mammalia; Artiodactyla; Camelidae. RNAcentral also lists the same sequence under 2 other names. The record is from Rfam by way of RNAcentral.
GAAGGUAUAGCUUAGUGCUACAGUGUCUACCUUGCAUGCAUGAGAUUCUGGGUCCAAUCCCUAGUACCUCCA